Molecule: ribosomal RNA, 434 nt
Filed under: uncultured bacterium
Lineage: Bacteria
Description: partial 16S ribosomal RNA
Rfam family: Bacterial small subunit ribosomal RNA
Source: RNAcentral
AGCGAACGCUGGCGGCAGGCUUAACACAUGCAAGUCGAGCGGGCACUUUCGGGUGUCAGCGGCGGACGGGUGAGUAACGCGUGGGAACGUGCCCUCUGGUUCGGAAUAACUCAGGGAAACUUGAGCUAAUACCGGAUACGCCCUUUUGGGGAAAGGCUUGCUGCCGGAGGAUCGGCCCGCGUCUGAUUAGCUAGUUGGUGAGGUAACGGCUCACCAAGGCGACGAUCAGUAGCUGGUCUGAGAGGAUGAUCAGCCACACUGGGACUGAGACACGGCCCAGACUCCUACGGGAGGCAGCAGUGGGGAAUAUUGGACAAUGGGCGCAAGCCUGAUCCAGCCAUGCCGCGUGAGUGAUGAAGGCCUUAGGGUUGUAAAGCUCUUUUAUCCGGGACGAUAAUGACGGUACCGGAGGAAUAAGCCCCGGCGAACUUCGU